AUUGAACGCUGGCGGCAUGCUUUACACAUGCAAGUCGAACGGUAACAGGCCUUCGGGUGCUGACGAGUGGCGAACGGGUGAGUAAUGCAUCGGAACGUACCCAGAGGUGGGGGAUAACGCAGCGAAAGCUGCGCUAAUACCGCAUGUGAUCUGAGGAUGAAAGCGGGGGACCGCGCAGCAAUGUUUGGCCUCGCGCCUUUGGAGCGGCCGAUGUCGGAUUAGCUAGUUGGUGGGGUAAAGGCCUACCAAGGCGACGAUCCGUAGCUGGUCUGAGAGGACGACCAGCCACACUGGGAGUGAGACACGGCCCAGACUCCUACGGGAGGCAGCAGUGGGGAAUUUUGGACAAUGGGCGCAAGCCUGAUCCAGCAAUGCCGCGUGCGGGAAGAAGGCCUUCGGGUUGUAAACCGCUUUUGGCAGGAACGAAACGGUGUCCGCUAAUACCGGGCGCUAAUGACGGUACCUGCAGAAUAAGCACCGGCUAACUACGUG
This 492-nucleotide ribosomal RNA is filed under the name uncultured bacterium. RNAcentral's name for it is "partial 16S ribosomal RNA". It matches the Rfam family "Bacterial small subunit ribosomal RNA", at positions 29 to 507 of the family's 1533-position model. The record is from RNAcentral.